CUCAGUUCGGAUCGGAGUCUGCAACCCGACUCCGUGAAGCUGGAUUCGCUAGUAAUCGCGCAUCAGCCAUGGCGCGGUGAAUACGUUCCCGGGCCUUGUACACACCGCCCGUCAAGCCAUGGAAGGCCGGGGGUGCCUGAAGUGUGCAGCCGCAAGGAGCGCCCUAAAGGUAAAACCGGUGACGUGGGGCUAAGUCGUAACAAGGUACC
RNAcentral lists this ribosomal RNA (209 nucleotides) under uncultured bacterium. RNAcentral describes it as "partial 16S ribosomal RNA". It matches the Rfam family "Bacterial small subunit ribosomal RNA", at positions 1287 to 1500 of the family's 1533-position model. The record is from RNAcentral.